CACCUCCAGCAUAACCAGUAUUGGAGGCACUGCCUGCCCAGUGACAACCGUUAAACGGCCGCGGUAUCCUGACCGUGCAAAGGUAGCAUAAUCACUUGUUCUCUAAAUAGGGACUUGUAUGAAUGGCCACACGAGGGUUUUACUGUCUCUUACUUCCAAUCAGUGAAAUUGACCUUCCCGUGAAGAGGCGGGAAUAUAUUAAUAAGACGAGAAGACCCUAUGGAGCUUUAACUACUUAGCCCAAAAGAAACAAAUUUCACUACUAAGGAAACAACAACACUCUUUAUGGGCUAACAGCUUUGGUUGGGGUGACCUCGGAGAACAAGAAAUCCUCCGAGCGAUUUUAAAGACUAGACCUACAAGUCGAAUCACACAAUCGUUUAUUGAUCCAAAAAUUGAUCAACGGAACAAGUUACCCUAGGGAUAACAGCGCAAUCCUAUUCAAGAGUCCAUAUCGACAAUAGGGUUUACGACCUCGAUGUUGGAUCAGGACAUCCCGAUGGUGCAACCGCUAUCAAAGGUUCGUUUGUUCAACGAUUAAAGUCCU
Molecule: ribosomal RNA, 547 nt
Filed under: Cervus nippon (sika deer)
Lineage: Eukaryota; Metazoa; Chordata; Mammalia; Artiodactyla; Cervidae
Description: partial large subunit ribosomal RNA
Rfam family: Bacterial large subunit ribosomal RNA
Source: RNAcentral